Molecule: transfer RNA, 63 nt
Filed under: Taenia laticollis
Lineage: Eukaryota; Metazoa; Platyhelminthes; Cestoda; Cyclophyllidea; Taeniidae
Description: tRNA-Leu (UUR)
Source: RNAcentral
GUAACUAUGUCAGAAGUAUAUGAGUUAGUUUUAAGCAUUAAUUAUGGAUUAUUCCUAGUUACU